This 119-nucleotide ribosomal RNA is filed under the name Phoenicopterus ruber ruber. The record is from RNAcentral. Lineage: Eukaryota; Metazoa; Chordata; Aves; Phoenicopteriformes; Phoenicopteridae.
GCCUAUGGCCAUACCACCCUGAGAACACCCAAACUUGUCUGAUCUUGGAAGCUAAGCAGGGUCGGGCCUGGUUGGUACUUAGAUGGGAGACUGCCUGGGAAUACUGGGUGCUGUAGGCU